Molecule: ribosomal RNA, 253 nt
Filed under: uncultured bacterium
Lineage: Bacteria
Description: partial 16S ribosomal RNA
Rfam family: Bacterial small subunit ribosomal RNA
Source: RNAcentral
UACGGAGGGGGCAAGCGUUGUCCGGACUUACUGGGCGUAAAGGGUGCGUAGGCGGCCUGCUGCGUCGGUGCUGAAAGCGCCCGGCUUAACCGGGCGAGGCGUGCCGAUACGAGCGGGCUGGAGCCUUGGCGAGGGCGGCGGAACUCCUGGUGUAGUGGUGAAAUGCGUAGAGAUCAGGAAGAACACCCGUGGCGCAAGCGGCCACCUGGCCAAGAGCUGACGCUGAGGCACGAGAGCGUGGGGAGCGAACCGG